Molecule: microRNA precursor, 104 nt
Filed under: Canis lupus dingo (dingo)
Lineage: Eukaryota; Metazoa; Chordata; Mammalia; Carnivora; Canidae
Description: mir-8834 microRNA precursor family
Rfam family: mir-8834 microRNA precursor family
Source: Rfam by way of RNAcentral
AGGAGGAACAGCCCCAGUGGCGGGGCAGCUCUGGAAACCUGGAUUCAGCUCCGGCAGGAACUACAGAGCUCUCCGUCUGCAGGGCCUGGAGGCUCUGGGCGGGG